This 266-nucleotide ribosomal RNA is filed under the name uncultured bacterium. RNAcentral describes it as "partial 16S ribosomal RNA". It matches the Rfam family "Bacterial small subunit ribosomal RNA", at positions 28 to 286 of the family's 1533-position model. The record is from RNAcentral.
GACGAACGCUGGCGGCGUGCUUAAUACAUGCAAGUCGAGGGACGAAACCGAGAUGGGCAACCAUCGAGGCUGAAACCGGCGAACGGGUGAGUAACACGUGGGUAACGCGACCCCAGACACAGGAACAACAACGGGAAACCGUUGCUAAUGCCUGAUAACCCUGCUUGCCGCAUGGCGGCAGGGCAAAAGCUCCGGCGGUCUGGGACCGGCCCGCGUCCUAUCAGCUUAGUUGGGGGGUAAUGGCCUACCAAGGCGAUGACGGGUAG